GUAUGAGAUUAGUUCAAUUUUUACAUUCAAAAUAAGGUAAUACUAUUUUCUAUGCUUUUCUGGACAGAUCAUCUUUGUAAAUGGUAGUCUUUUGACUAUUUUAAUAACAGCCAGCAGCAAAGGAAUUUUGAGAAUAUCAAGUGAGAUUCUACAGUAUAGAAGCACACUUAUUUCCCCAUGCCAGAAAGAACUUUCCAGAUACUUCAGGAUCCAGCUAGCAUUAAUAUAAAACAGAAUCCAAGAUUAAUGAAGCCUGACUGAUAGAGUUGGCUUAGCUGCCUGACCUAAGGAUUCUUUCCCUAAGGAGAAGAGUGGGGAGGAAAAAUAGGGAAGAUAUUGCAUCUAUUCCAAGGAAAGUGUGGCAUGGGACCCAAAGAUUGAAAAUGUUUGGAAUUAACUUAUCCUGACAGUGGUUCCUAUUCUUUUCAAUUUCUGGACCUACUCAUCCCUUUUAUUAUGUAGCCUAUCUCAUAUUCUUCCAUUGGAUCUAAAUUUCCAUGAGAAAUAAAAAUCAAUUUUUAUGUGCUAAUUACACCAUAUAUUUUCAUGAGAUAUGUGUAACAGUUGUCUUUA
Molecule: long non-coding RNA, 573 nt
Filed under: Pan troglodytes (chimpanzee)
Lineage: Eukaryota; Metazoa; Chordata; Mammalia; Primates; Hominidae
Description: lncRNA (ENSPTRG00000053429.1)
Source: RNAcentral